Molecule: ribosomal RNA, 253 nt
Filed under: uncultured bacterium
Lineage: Bacteria
Description: partial 16S ribosomal RNA
Rfam family: Bacterial small subunit ribosomal RNA
Source: RNAcentral
GACGGAGGAUGCAAGCGUUAUCCGGAAUUAUUGGGCGUAAAGCGUCCGCAGGUGGCUGUUCAAGUCUGCUGUCAAAGCGCAGAGCUUAACUCUGUACAGGCGGUGGAAACUGAAGAGCUAGAGUAUGGUAGGGGUAGAGGGAAUUCCCGGUGUAGCGGUGAAAUGCGUAGAUAUCGGGAAGAACACCAGUGGCGAAGGCGGCGACCUGGACAGGAACUGACACUCAACUGCGAAAGCGUGGGGAGCAAACAGG